Non-coding RNA from Mycena galericulata, 83 nucleotides. The record is from the annotation of a GenBank genome assembly. Lineage: Eukaryota; Fungi; Basidiomycota; Agaricomycetes; Agaricales; Mycenaceae.
UCCCGAGUGGUCUAGUGGUUACGAUGCCUGCCUUUUAUUCUAUGAUACAGCGGGAGACCGAGGUUCGAGUCCUCGCCUGGGGC